This 449-nucleotide ribosomal RNA is filed under the name uncultured bacterium. RNAcentral describes it as "partial 16S ribosomal RNA". It matches the Rfam family "Bacterial small subunit ribosomal RNA", at positions 354 to 796 of the family's 1533-position model. The record is from RNAcentral.
GUCGAGAAUCUUUCACAAUGGGGGCAACCCUGAUGGAGCGACGCCGCGUGGAGGAUAAGGUCUUCGGAUUGUAAACUCCUGUCAUGCGUGAACAAGGUUGCUUGGAUAAUACCUGAGCAAAUUGAUGGUAGCGCAAGAGGAAGAGACGGCUAACUCUGUGCCAGCAGCCGCGGUAAUACAGAGGUCUCAAGCGUUGUUCGGAAUCACUGGGCGUAAAGGGUGCGUAGGUGGCGUGGCAAGUCAGAUGUGAAAGCCCGGGGCUCAACCUCGGGACUGCAUCCGAUACUGCCAUGCUAGAGUACUGGAGGGGUGACUAGAAUUCUCGGUGUAGCAGUGAAAUGCGUAGAUAUCGAGAGGAAUACCAAAGGCGUAGGCAGGUCACUGGACAGUUACUGACACUGAGGCACGAAGGCCAGGGGAGCGAACGGGAUUAGAAACCCUUGUAGUCC